Molecule: ribosomal RNA, 253 nt
Filed under: uncultured bacterium
Lineage: Bacteria
Description: partial 16S ribosomal RNA
Rfam family: Bacterial small subunit ribosomal RNA
Source: RNAcentral
UACAGAGGGUGCGAGCGUUAAUCGGAAUUACUGGGCGUAAAGCGCACGUAGGCGGCUUGGUAUGUCGGGUGUGAAAUCCCCGGGCUCAACCUGGGAACUGCAUCCGAAACUGCCUUGCUAGAGUAUGGGAGAGGGAAGUGGAAUUUCCGGUGUAGCGGUGAAAUUCGUAGAUAUCGGGAGGAACACCAGUGGCGAAGGCGGCGACCUGGACCGAUACUGACGCUGAGGUGCGAAAGCGUGGGGAGCAAACAGG